CGCCCGUUGCGCCGUUGCAGCGGUUAAUUUCAAACUGUUCGAGACGCCGCUGGAGGAUGGAGCUGAGGAACAUGUCGGCGUCUCGAUAGGAGUGCGGUAAUUUCCAGCGCGAACAGCUCAAGCACAGGUUGAGUGAGUAUCCCUCGUAGGUAACGGAUGCACCACAUGCGGCCACAGUCUAUACAGUCGAUUCAGCCCACCGAGUUCAUGAAAAUGAAAACGAUCCUGGCUAUGCUUCUAGGCACAUUAGCGUGGUGUGCUACUUUUAGUUUGUGGUCGAUUCACUGCAGUUUUCAUCUUACAUAUUCUUUUAGGACUCGGAAAGUGUCUCUUUGAGCAAGCUUGGAAUCAUUUACCGUCUAAUGCGCUACAGUGUUCUUUGACGGCGGAACUUCUACUUGGCCGGUGAGUUCCAGCGAUUGGAAAACACGAAGGAACAAUGAAAUCGGUUCGUUCAUAAGGCAACAAGGGACCAGAGGCUACAGUUGCGUCGCUAGCAGGCAGGACCCGAGCUAAUUAUACUGGUGAGUAACAUCGACGAUCCUUCUUAUUUACAUAAGGUGGUGAUAUUGUGAUCGUGAUCUAUAUAA
This is a long non-coding RNA of Ornithodoros turicata, 590 nucleotides long. RefSeq lists it as uncharacterized. NCBI's taxonomy places the organism in Eukaryota, Metazoa, Arthropoda, Arachnida, Ixodida, Argasidae. The transcript has 3 exons. The record is from RefSeq and is a predicted model, not a curated record.